This is a small nuclear RNA of Protopterus annectens (West African lungfish), 192 nucleotides long. RefSeq annotates it as U2 spliceosomal RNA. NCBI's taxonomy places the organism in Eukaryota, Metazoa, Chordata, Ceratodontiformes, Protopteridae. The transcript has a single exon. The record is from RefSeq and is a predicted model, not a curated record.
AUCGCUUCUCGGCCUUUUGGCUAAGAUCAAGUGUAGAAAAUUGUGUAAAGGUGUACAUCAAGCCUGAACAUAGAGACAUACCUGUAAAAACAGGUACAUCAUGUGAUGGGGUAAAUCAGGCAUGAAAAUUUCUUUUUUUAUUUAUUAAUUUAUUUAUUUAUUCCAUUUGCUAAUUGGGUUAGAACACUGAUU